AUACGGCAUCAUGGCUGUAUUGAUAGGUUCACACAUAAAGGCUCCAUUUAUGGCUCCGUGACAUUUUUGAUGGUGGAAAUUAAUUAUUCACGGGUUAGGAUUAAAGUAGACACACGCUCGGGGGAGACGGGGCUGUGGCUACUGUUGUGGAGGGGUCAAUAAAAUCUCCCAACAAACAAAAUAGCAGGCAGAGUUGCCCGGGAGUCGAUUACAGCAAUAGCAGGCUAUACAUUUACACAUAUAGAUAGAGAUUACACUUAAAAGAGUGAAUAAACGAAAGCGUGACAACUGCUAUGUUUGUUGGCAUAAAGGGGGGGUGGGAAGUGCAGCACUGCAGGGUUUUGACAAACGGCUGUGUGGACAUUUCAACGUGUAAUACCCCGGGAAGGAGCUGCAGAGCUGUGCGCACAGAGCGAAGGCACUCACCGUCUCCAAGUCUCUCCUACUUUCUCUAAACGCGUUCAGCCUGCAGACUCUGCUGCUGGAGACUGACUUUUUUUCCCUUUUAAUAAGCUAAAAAAAAACUGUGGUUUACGUUGUUUUUUUUCCCUCCUCCUCCUCCUCUUCUUCUUCUGGACAUCCACGAAGGAAAAUAUGCGGCCCUCUAGCGACACCUGGCGGCCACAGUCUUACCCUCAAAGCUGCCGAAGGCUUAAAGAAACAAACGAGUGAAGGCCUCACAAGGAAGAAACAACAUAAUAAUAAACACGGACCCUAAUUUAAACGGAAAAUACCCACUCGUGACAACAAAAUCUGGUUUUGGAAUUAAAAUCAAAUGCCUUGUGAUUUUUUAAAAUAUUUUUAUUGUUAUUUUCUGGCGUUUAUUGGACCAUAAAUUCGAUUUUACAUUUGAUGCUGCCACAAGUGCGCGUCACACAGACUAAAAAAAUAAAUAUGGCCUUAAUUAGUCCCAGGCUUUACUUUCGAGAACAAGUUGGACUUUGAUUUUUUGUAUUUAUUUAUUUAUUAUGGAUAAUUAUUCAAUGUAAAACCCAAAAAACGGCGUAAAACUUUUUUUAAUUUGAAUUUUACACGAAUGCCUCGUUGUACAUUUAAAUUGCACUUCUUAUAUAAUCACAAUAACGUUUAUAAUCAGCUGUUAGUUAUCCUAGUUAUCACGUGUUUAAAUACACAAAUCAGACUCUUACAGAAGCGGAGCCUACAUUUUAGAAGACUUUUUUUUUUUUCGUUUUUGUGAUUUGGAAAAAUAAUCGAUUUUUGAAAAACAAAAAAUUACCAACACGAUAAACUAUUUUAAAAGCUUAUUUAUGUGGAUAAAUGUAUUUAAUAAAAUGCUAAGAUUAUAAAUCCUAAACGAAAUAUUCUGACUUUUUUUUCUUUCGUGUAAAAAAAUACAACAAUUGACACUACUACUAAACUAAUAAAAAUAAUAUACUAAAAACAAAUAAAUAAAGAGAUGGCUUAAUAAAUAAAUAAAUAUUGGAGUCAGCGCGCGCGUGUGCUCUGCAGCUCUGCUCGGCUGCAGUGACACACUUAGAGCAGGUCACCACUGAGAUUAGAGCCCGUCGUUAACGCCUGCUCGGAUACACCAAAUGCUGAUUUAAUGAGCUUGCAUCGGGUGUUUGUCCCAGAAUACCUGGUGUGCAUGUGUUAGUAACGCCACACACUGUAAUCCCCGCGUCCCCCCCCCCGCCCCCCCUCUUUAACAUGUGGCUUUUUACAGGGACAGCCUACACCUGCACUCACAGAAGGCGCCGUGCAGAUUUGGUGGGCGCGCGCGUGUGUGUGUGUGUGAUUUGCUCUUUUAUUUCACUCAGAUUGAACGGGUGCAAGCCUAUAAGGCCCGUAUCCAGCCACAUUACCACAUGUAAUUGAGAGAAGUUUAAGUGGAGGCCGGGAAAGCGAGGAGUUAAUAGCGGUGACCCUCUUGCUGCGCCUCUGUCGCUCAUCAUUUAUCAGGCUUAAGGGGCUUAAACAGGCAGCACAGACCCACCUUUUAUUACAUAUCAAACCCUCUCUCCCUUAUCUACAUUAUAGGAAACGCAUGCAUCGUUGCCUGUUAUGCGGAUUUGGAAAUAGAAACAUGUCCAAUAAAGUCGCCCUCCUCCGCUGAUCAGAGGAAAUAUGGCUUUAGGCGCUGAGCAGACAAACCCAGGCGGUUUAAGCCUUUAUUAAAUUGUCUUAAUUCCCCCCCACUAUACUUUGAAAUGAAUAUAAAUUGUAUAAAUUGUGUUUUUCCACUCGGAGGGGGGGAAUGCACAUACAGAAAGUGUGGAGUUUUUUAUGGCCACAACAUGAAGAAAGUGGAUAAAAACAACUGCGCGGUUUUGUUUGUGUGUUGUUUUUGAAAUGUAAUGAGAUCCGAAAUAACGCAAGUGGUAUUUCAACACAACAGGAUAUAAGAAAAUAAACAAAACAAUAAUAAUAAGGUAUAGUAGCAGUUAUAUAUAUAUCUAUAGCCUAAAUAAGAUAUCAGGGAAAAAAGUGUCUUCACUGCUUUAUUCAUACAUACAAUUAAAGGUGAGGAGGAGGAGGGGAAAAGAGGCUUCCUUGUGAACACUUAUAGUUACAGUGUCUUCUACGCGACUUCCGUCACUCCUUUAUUUAUAGCCUUAAUGAAUUACAUGUCAUUUAGAGGGAAACCAUAAAAACAGUUGGUCUCUCUGUGUGUGUGUGAAUUCAGCCUCAAAGCUUAUUUUUGUGGCCGUCACAUUUUUCUUUUUUUUUUUUUUAAAUAAAAAUAAAAAUGUUUUAAUGUUAAAUGAUUUGUGUGUUAAAACAAAUAUUAGUUGAGGUGGUAUCCUUCUCUUAAAGAGACGCACGCAGGCUCGCUGUGCUGCCUUGAAACUUCAGCCUAAGUUGUCUGUGCUUGAUUCCUCCAAGGAGAGCUCAGUCAGUCAGCCCUGAACGCAGCUGCAUUCACGCCGAGUGACGGAUUUUGAUAUUCUAGUCACACAACAGAGUAAACACCGCUCUCCUAUUCAAUAAACAUCAUUGACAAGGUUCCAUAUCCAGCCAUUAGGAACACACCGCUUAACCCCAUCAGCACCAGCAAAUAGUUUCCAGUUAAAACAAAAAUCAUAGUCUUCAGAUUUCUAAUGUGAAUGUUGUUUUAUUAUAUAUAUUUUUUUAAAACAAAAGUGCAUGUUGUAAAAAAAUAAAAAUAAAGUCAUAUUGUAAAUUUACUGUAAAUCUGUAUUUUUGUAUGAUUUAAUGUAAUGACAUUAAAUAUUUUUAAACGA
Molecule: long non-coding RNA, 3203 nt
Organism: Solea solea (common sole)
Lineage: Eukaryota; Metazoa; Chordata; Actinopteri; Pleuronectiformes; Soleidae
Exons: 2
Source: RefSeq, a predicted model, not a curated record